GAAGUCACUUCCCAUCCCGGUUCGCUUGGGGGGAAACCAGGCGUCCCUGGAAGGGAAGGGAAGGGAGUCCGGGCUGCGCGGGUCAGCCCGUCGCCUUUCUGACCACGUCCCUACGGUUUCCCGGCAUCCGCCUCCCUCACCCCACCACACCUGAGGAAAACUUUUCCCUCGCCCCUCAAUUCAAAUUCAGCAGUGCCCACGGUUGCCGCAAACCGCCCGGUCCCUAGCAACAAGGUUCCGGCCGUAGAGCGAGAGCCUCUAGGUGUAAGGAAGGUGAUGUCGUAAAGCCGGGAGUGUCGUAAACCAGUUUUCAGUUUAAAUUCUCAACUGGCAAUUGGCCGAAAACUCCCAUCUGAAGACAUGAUCAUCCAAAUGUCAUUUUGUGAUUUGGCUACUGUCUGCUUGACAUAGGAAAGCACUAUCAAGAAAGACUAAUGGAGUGACUAUCAAAAGGAAGUCAAUGACUGAAUUUAAAAUUGUUACAUGCAGACAUUUUUAAAGGACAACCUUAAACUUCCACCACAAGAGGAAUAUAAAGAGGUCCCUCCUGCACCAAGAAAGAUCUGCAGAUCUUUUUCAGUGUUCUUGGAGGUGUGGGGUGUGAGAACUUGAUCAGUUUGUGUCAGCCACCUUGUUCUCUAAAGUUACAAAUUAUAAUACUGUGGUAGAAACAAAUUCAGAUUCAGAUGAUGAAGACAAACUGCAUAUUGUGGAAGAAGAAAGUGUUACAGAUGCAGCUGACUGUGAAGGUGUACCAGAGGAUGACCUGCCAACAGACCAGACAGUGUUACCAGGGAGGAGCAGUGAAAGAGAAGGGAAUGCUAAGAACUGCUGGGAGGAUGACACAGGAAAGGAAGGGCAAGAAAUCCUGGGGCCUGAAGCUCAGGCAGAUGAAGCAGGAUGUACAGUAAAAGAUGAUGAAUGCGAGUCAGAUGCAGAAAAUGAGCAAAACCAUGAUCCUAAUGUUGAAGAGUUUCUACAACAACAAGACACUGCUGUCAUUUUUCCUGAGGCACCUGAAGAGGACCAGAGGCAGGGCACACCAGAAGCCAGUGGUCAUGAUGAAAAUGGAACACCAGAUGCAUUUUCACAAUUACUCACCUGUCCAUAUUGUGAUAGAGGCUAUAAACGCUUUACCUCUCUGAAAGAACACAUUAAAUAUCGUCAUGAAAAGAAUGAAGAUAACUUUAGUUGCUCCCUGUGCAGUUACACCUUUGCAUACAGAACCCAACUUGAACGUCACAUGACAUCACAUAAAUCAGGAAGAGAUCAAAGACAUGUGACGCAGUCUGGGUGUAAUCGUAAAUUCAAAUGCACUGAGUGUGGAAAAGCUUUCAAAUACAAACAUCACCUAAAAGAGCACUUAAGAAUUCACAGUGGAGAGAAGCCAUAUGAAUGCCCAAACUGCAAGAAACGCUUUUCCCAUUCUGGCUCCUAUAGCUCACACAUAAGCAGUAAGAAAUGUAUCAGCUUGAUACCUGUGAAUGGGCGACCAAGAACAGGACUCAAGACAUCUCAGUGUUCUUCACCGUCUCUUUCAGCAUCACCAGGCAGUCCCACACGACCACAGAUACGGCAAAAGAUAGAGAAUAAACCCCUUCAAGAACAACUUUCUGUUAACCAAAUUAAAACUGAACCUGUGGAUUAUGAAUUCAAACCCAUAGUGGUUGCUUCAGGAAUCAACUGUUCAACCCCUUUACAAAAUGGGGUUUUCACUGGUGGUGGCCCAUUACAGGCAACCAGUUCUCCUCAGGGCAUGGUGCAAGCUGUUGUUCUGCCAACAGUUGGUUUGGUGUCUCCCAUAAGUAUCAAUUUAAGUGAUAUUCAGAAUGUACUUAAAGUGGCGGUAGAUGGUAAUGUAAUAAGGCAAGUGUUGGAGAAUAAUCAAGCCAAUCUUGCAUCCAAAGAACAAGAAACAAUCAAUGCUUCACCCAUACAACAAGGUGGCCAUUCUGUUAUUUCAGCCAUCAGUCUUCCUUUGGUUGAUCAAGAUGGAACAACCAAAAUUAUCAUCAACUACAGUCUUGAGCAGCCUAGCCAACUUCAAGUUGUUCCUCAAAAUUUAAAAAAAGAAAAUCCAGUCGCUACAAACAGUUGUAAAAGUGAAAAGUUACCAGAAGAUCUUACUGUUAAGUCUGAGAAGGACAAAAGCUUUGAAGGGGGGGUGAAUGAUAGCACUUGUCUUCUGUGUGAUGAUUGUCCAGGAGAUAUUAAUGCACUUCCAGAAUUAAAGCACUAUGACCUAAAGCAGCCUACUCAGCCUCCUCCACUCCCUGCAGCAGAAGCUGAGAAGCCUGAGUCCUCUGUUUCAUCAGCUACUGGAGAUGGCAAUUUGUCUCCUAGUCAGCCACCUUUAAAGAACCUCUUGUCUCUCCUAAAAGCAUAUUAUGCUUUGAAUGCACAACCAAGUGCAGAAGAGCUCUCAAAAAUUGCUGAUUCAGUAAACCUACCACUGGAUGUAGUAAAAAAGUGGUUUGAAAAGAUGCAAGCUGGACAGAUUUCAGUGCAGUCUUCUGAACCAUCUUCUCCUGAACCAGGCAAAGUAAAUAUCCCUGCCAAGAACAAUGAUCAGCCUCAAUCUGCAAAUGCAAAUGAACCCCAGGACAGCACAGUAAAUCUACAAAGUCCUUUGAAGAUGACUAACUCCCCAGUUUUACCGGUGGGAUCAACCACCAAUGGUUCCAGAAGUAGUACACCAUCCCCAUCACCUCUAAACCUUUCCUCAUCCAGAAAUACACAGGGUUACUUGUACACAGCUGAGGGUGCACAAGAAGAGCCACAAGUAGAACCUCUUGAUCUUUCGCUACCAAAGCAACAGGGAGAAUUAUUAGAAAGGUCAACUAUCACUAGUGUUUACCAGAACAGUGUUUAUUCUGUCCAGGAAGAACCCUUGAACUUGUCUUGCGCAAAAAAGGAGCCACAAAAGGACAGUUGUGUUACAGACUCAGAACCAGUUGUAAAUGUAAUCCCACCAAGUGCCAACCCCAUAAAUAUCGCUAUACCUACAGUCACUGCCCAGUUACCCACAAUCGUGGCCAUUGCUGACCAGAACAGUGUUCCAUGCUUACGAGCGCUAGCUGCCAAUAAGCAAACGAUUCUGAUUCCCCAGGUGGCAUACACCUACUCAACUACGGUCAGCCCUGCAGUCCAAGAACCACCCUUGAAAGUGAUCCAGCCAAAUGGAAAUCAGGAUGAAAGACAAGAUACUAGCUCAGAAGGAGUAUCAAAUGUAGAGGAUCAGAAUGACUCUGAUUCUACACCUCCCAAAAAGAAAAUGCGGAAGACAGAAAAUGGAAUGUAUGCUUGUGAUUUGUGUGACAAGAUAUUCCAAAAGAGUAGUUCAUUAUUGAGACAUAAAUAUGAACACACAGGUAAAAGACCUCAUGAGUGUGGAAUCUGUAAAAAGGCAUUUAAACACAAACAUCAUUUGAUUGAACACAUGCGAUUACAUUCUGGAGAAAAGCCCUAUCAAUGUGACAAAUGUGGAAAGCGCUUCUCACACUCUGGGUCUUAUUCUCAACACAUGAAUCAUCGCUACUCCUACUGUAAGAGAGAAGCGGAAGAACGUGACAGCACAGAGCAGGAAGAGGCAGGGCCUGAAAUCCUCUCGAACGAGCACGUGGGUGCCAGGGCGUCUCCCUCACAGGGCGACUCGGACGAGAGAGAGAGUUUGACAAGGGAAGAGGAUGAAGACAGUGAAAAAGAGGAAGAGGAGGAGGAUAAAGAGAUGGAAGAAUUGCAGGAAGAAAAAGAAUGUGAAAAACCACAAGGGGAUGAGGAAGAGGAGGAGGAGGAGGAGGAAGAAGUGGAAGAAGAAGAGGUAGAAGAGGCAGAGAAUGAGGGAGAAGAAGCAAAAACUGAAGGUCUGAUGAAGGAUGACAGGGCUGAAAGUCAAGCAAGCAGCUUAGGACAAAAAGUAGGCGAGAGUAGUGAGCAAGUGUCUGAAGAAAAGACAAAUGAAGCCUAAUCGUUUUUCUAGAAGGAAAAUAAAUUCUAAUUGAUAAUGAAUUUUGUUCAAUAUUAUCCUUGCUUUUCAUGGAAACACAGUAACCUGUAUGCUGUGAUUCCUGUUCACUACUGUGUAAAGUAAAAACUAAAAAAAUACAAAAUACAAAAACACACACACACACACAAAAAAUAAAUCCGGGUGUGCCUGAACCUCAGACCUAGUAAUUUUUCAUGCAGUUUUCAAAGUUAGGAACAAGUUUGUAACAUGCAGCAGAUUAGAAAACCUUAAUGACUCAGAGAGCAACGAUACAAGAGGUUAAAGGAAGCUGAUUAAUUAGAUAUGCAUCUGGCAUUGUUUUAUCAGUAUUAUCACUCUUAUGUUGGUUUAUUCUUAAGCUGUACAAUUGGGAGAAAUUUUAUAAUUUUUUAUUGGUAAACAUAUGCUAAAUCCGCUUCAGUAUUUUAUUAUGUUUUUUAAAAUGUGAGAACUUCUGCACUACAAAAUUCCCUUCACAGAGAAGUAUAAUGUAGUUCCAACCCGUGCUAACUACCUUUUAUAAAUUCAGUCUAGAAGGUAGUAAUUUCUAAUAUUUAGAUGUCUUAGUAGAGCGUAUUAUCAUUUAAAGUGUAUUGUUAGCCUUAAGAAAGCAGCUGAUAGAAGAACUGAAGUUUCUUACUCACGUGGUUUAAAAUGGAGUUCAAAAGAUUGCCAUUGAGUUCUGAUUGCAGGGACUAACAAUGUUAAUCUGAUAAGGACAGCAAAAUCAUCAGAAUCAGUGUUUGUGAUUGUGUUUGAAUAUGUGGUAACAUAUGAAGGAUAUGACAUGAAGCUUUGUAUCUCCUUUGGCCUUAAGCAAGACCUGUGUGCUGUAAGUGCCAUUUCUCAGUAUUUUCAAGGCUCUAACCCGCCUUCAUCCAAUGUGUGGCCUACAAUAACUAGCAUUUGUUGAUUUGUCUCUUGUAUCAAAAUUCCCAAAUAAAACUUAAAACCACUGACUCUGUCAGAGAAACUGAAACACUGGGACAUUUCAUCCUUCAAUUCCUCGGUAUUGAUUUUAUGUUGAUUGAUUUUCAGAAUUUCUCUACAGAAAACGAAAGGGAAAUUUUCUAAUCUGCUUUAUCCAUGUACUUGCAUUUCAGACAUGGACAUGCUGUUGUUAUUUGGCUCAUAACUGUUUCCAAAUGUUAGUUAUUAUGGACCCAAUUUAUUAACAACAUUAGCUGAUUUUUACCUAUCAGUAUUAUUUUAUUUCUUUUAGUUUAUAGAUCUGUGCAACAUUUUUGUACUGUAUGUCUUCAAACCUGGCAGUAUUAAUACCCUUCUUACUGACAUAUGUACUUUUAGUUUUAGAAAACUUUUAUAUUUAUGUGUCUUAUUUUUAUAUUUCUUUAUUUAUUACACAGUGUAGUGUAUAAUACUGUAGUUUGUAUUAAUACAAUAAUAUAUUUUAGUAUGAAAAUUUGGAAAGUUGAUAAGAUUUAAAGUAGAGAUGCAAUUGGUUCUCCUGCAUUGAGAUUUGAUUUAACAGUGUUAUGUUAACAUUUAUACUUGCCUUGGACUGUAGAACAGAACUUAAAUGGGAAUGUAUUAGUUUUACAACUACAAUCAAGUCAUUUUACCUUUACCCAGUUUUUAAUAUAAAACUUAAAUUUUGAAAUUCACUGUGUGACUAAUAGCAUGAUGCUCUGCAGUUUUAUUAAGAAAUUAGCCUAACCAUAAAACUCUCAUUUCCUUAGUAAGCCAAAUUAGGAUUAACUUCUAUAAACAGUGUUGGGAACAAUGUUUAACAUUUUGUGCCAAUUUGUUCCUGUAUUCAUGUAUGUAAGUUACAGAUCUGACUCUUCAUUUUUAAGUUCCUUGUUACAUCAUGGUCAUUUUCUAGUUUUUUACCAGACUCCCCCCAUCUCACAAUAAAAUGCAUCAACAAGCCUGAA
Molecule: small RNA, 5883 nt
Filed under: Pan troglodytes (chimpanzee)
Lineage: Eukaryota; Metazoa; Chordata; Mammalia; Primates; Hominidae
Description: retained intron
Source: RNAcentral